This 253-nucleotide ribosomal RNA is filed under the name uncultured bacterium. RNAcentral describes it as "partial 16S ribosomal RNA". It matches the Rfam family "Bacterial small subunit ribosomal RNA", at positions 524 to 776 of the family's 1533-position model. The record is from RNAcentral.
UACGUAGGGUGCAAGCGUUGUCCGGAAUUAUUGGGCGUAAAGAGCUCGUAGGCGGCUUGUCACGUCGGGUGUGAAAGCCCGGGGCUUAACCCCGGGUCUGCAUUUGAUACGGGCUAGCUAGAGUGUGGUAGGGGAGAUCGGAAUUCCUGGUGUAGCGGUGAAAUGCGCAGAUAUCAGGAGGAACACCGGUGGCGAAGGCGGAUCUCUGGGCCAUUACUGACGCUGAGGAGCGAAAGCGUGGGGAGCGAACAGG